Molecule: unclassified non-coding RNA, 2737 nt
Filed under: Penaeus monodon (black tiger shrimp)
Lineage: Eukaryota; Metazoa; Arthropoda; Malacostraca; Decapoda; Penaeidae
Description: tigger transposable element-derived protein 4-like, transcript variant X3
Source: RNAcentral
CGCACGCCGACCGCCGCCGCCGAGUAAACAUGGACGUCUGAAUCCCAUCUUAUAGCGAAUUUUCAGGUGCUUCAAAAUGGAUGAUAUGCAGAGAUUGACAACUGCUGCUUGCGCAGACCUGGAGAGGUUAGCUGCAGCUGCAGCAACCAUGGGAUAUUCUUCCGACUCCAUAUCUGUUCCAUCCCAUCACCUACCAAGCGGUGUGCCCCCAAGCACCCUUGCUCCCUCCAUUGUACCUCAGUAUGCCGAUCCUUAUGACUUAUCUCGUGCACAGCAGUAUGCAGUUGCAAGGUUGAGUGAAUACCAACCCAGAACAGUUUAUGAUCAGAAUCGUGGUACCCACACAGCAACAACACAGCAUCAACACAUUAUAACACCAGCACAUGCUCAUGCAUCCUCCAGAAAUUCACAGUAUACUGUUGAGAGAACUAAUUUCAGCCACACAGGAAACAGAACCCAGCAGUACACCACUACAGUGUCUGGCAGCAGUGCCACCAUACCUGGAGGGAUUCAGUAUACUGAUACAAAGAAUAUAAGUACCACAGGGACGGGUAUUGCCCUUUCGCAGCCAUCUCUGCUGCCAGCCUCCACGUCAACAAGUCUUGUCACUCAGGCCGUAACGCAAGCAGUCGUGAAUUUUGUGCAAGAUGGUUUAGUCAUUGAUAAUUCUGGAAAUAUGUCGGCACCACCUCAGGAGAAAAAGAAAAAGAAAGAUAAGAAAACAGAAGCUGAAACAAAAGAUAAGAAAGAAAAACCAGUUUCUGAGGGUGAUAAUGCAGGUGAAGGAACAAGUGCUGAUGGGGAAGCAAAGAUAAACAUAACAGAAGUCCCAGAACCAGUUCUUAUUGAUGGUAGAAAAUAUUAUGUAUGCAGUUUGUGUGACUUGAGAUUUCUGAGAAAGUAUCAGUUUAGAAGACAUCUAAUUGCCCAUACUGGUGAGAAACGUGGUGCUCUUUCAUUAGAAACUAAAGUGGAGAUAAUUCGAAGAAUACAAUCAGGAGAAAAGCAAGUUGAUUUGGCAAUGGAAUACAAUGUAGGUCGAUCUACACUAAGCUUCAUUAUGAAACAUGCUGAGAAAUUUCUUGGGGUUUGGAAGAAUGGAAAAUUUCAUCCAGAUAGCAAACGCUUACGUGGUGCGCAGAGAGAGGAUGUGGAAGAGGCUCUGUAUGAGUGGUAUAAGCAAGCUCUACAAAUGAAUGUGACAAUUACUGGACCUAUAUUGUGCCAGAAAGCAAAAGAUUUUGCUGUGAAGCUUGGUUAUAAGGAGUUCAAAGCAACACAUGGCUGGUUAGAUAGGUUCAAGCACAGAAAGAAUAUUGUUCUUGGGAGAGGUAAACCUAAUAAAGAUAAGGACAAUCAGGAAGAUUCUGAGGAUCUAAAGGCAGACUUCACAGGUCAGGUUCUUCCCAGUGCACUUAUGGAAUAUGAAGCCAAUGAUGUCUUCCAUGCCGACGAAAUAGGACUGUUGUACCGUGUCAUGCCCAACAAAACCUCAGUCUUCAAAGGAGAUAGAUGUGCUGGUGGCAGUAAAAGUAAGCAUAGAGUGACUGUCCUCAUGUGUACAAAUAUGACAGGUACAGAGAAGUUUCCACUCUUGGUCAUUGGCAAACAUCCCAAACCCAAGUGCUUCAAGAAUGUGAAAAGCCUGCCAGUACAGUACUUGGCAAAUCCCAAGGCCUGGAUGACGACAGAGAGUUUCACUGCUUGGCUUCAUGAUUUAGACUCAUGGUUCGUGCAGCAGAACAGAAAAGUUUUGCUCAUAUUACCCAAUCUCCCUAUUCAUCCCAAAUCACCUAAACUGAAUGCUGUCAGAGUACUUACCAGUCCAACCACCUUUAUAGGCCCAUGUAAAUUAGGGGUUUCUCAUUCUCUUAAGAGGAACUACAGAAGAGCAGUGUUAGAAUCGCUUCUCAAUUACAUGGAUGAAGAAAAUUUGAAGAAGAAAAAGAAGCCUAAACAGACACAGAUGAGAUUAAAUCUACUGUCGUGUCUUCACUUACUUGCUGCUGCUUGGCAUGCAGUAACCGAUGUAACAAUCAACAAUAGUUUUCAGAGAUCGGGUAUUGGUAAAUAUGCAUUGUGGGGGAUGAAUCUCAUGCCAGAAACAAAUUUAGGAACAGAAAAUCUUGAGCUAAUCCACAAACUGAAAUCAAAAGGCUUCAAAAUUCCAGAUGGAAUAACAUUUGAUGAGUUUGUGAUGUUUGAUGAUGAAUUACAAGUUUGUCAUCUAAUGGAUGAUGAUGAUAUCAUUGCUGCUGUUACAGGAGCAGAUAUUGAGUCUUCAGAUAGUGAGGAAGAAGAUAUAGAGAUUGAAAAGAUAAAAGCAAUAAAGGAAAAGGGAGAAGCUCCAGAGGAUAGUGAGGCAGAAGUAACGGAGGAAACAGAAGAUGGUCCUGCAAUGACAGAAGUUGAUGCAAGCCUUGGAACGCUCCGGCAGUACAUUCAGUAUCAAGAAGGAGCUCAGGAAAUGUUCCGUGUUUUAGCCCAUCUUGAAUUCCUUAUUCACAAAGGAGGUAGUAAACCCCCAGUUGCCAUAGCUUCCUCUGAGGCAACAUGAAACAUUAAAGCUUCCAUAGAUGGGAAGACACAAAAAGAGAACCUGACUGAUGAAGCACACCAUCCAAGAGCGCAUUUACAUUCUACAGUGCUAUUGUUAACAAAGAUGAUGAACUUCUGAAGUAGGACUUACUUGACAGUAGUCGUCACAGCAAAAUGGAAGACCUCCACCGCCUAAGCA